Molecule: long non-coding RNA, 1191 nt
Organism: Schistocerca nitens (vagrant locust)
Lineage: Eukaryota; Metazoa; Arthropoda; Insecta; Orthoptera; Acrididae
Exons: 4
Source: RefSeq, a predicted model, not a curated record
CCGAGUUACACUCGCUGACGCCUCGUCAUCACAGCGCUGGAACACGUUGCCCAGCGGAACAUAUGAAUGUCUACCACAUUCACCGUAGACUACAAAUGUAUGCUGAUGAAUGUGAAAGGUCUCCUGAAGUAUCACCUGCUAAAGAACCUAAAGGCAGAAAAAAUACGAGAAAUGUGAGCCAUUGGAAAAGGGAGACAUUUAAACGUCAUAGAUAUUUUGGCAGGGAGUACAUAUCUGAUAAAACAGGACAAAUUGUUGGUGCUAAUGGUCUUGGUUCUGGAUGUAAACGUAAAUACAAGUGUUGGGGCAAAAUUCAUGAAUGUAUAGAGCAGACAUUCAAUUCUUUUGGGGAUAUGGGUAAUUUCAAUUGCCAAAAAAUUACCUUCUGAGCAAUGUUAAGAUGCAAGAAGUGCAAAGGAGCUACCCAAAGAAGAGGAAAAGCACAAUUUCAAGGCGAAUGGUCACUUUCUCGUACCAGGUUAAGGUUUAUGGCUGUAAUAUUUUGGUAAGCAGAGAAGCGUUUUUUAGUGUGCAUGAGCUUCAGAACAAUCAUGGACGUCUUAAGAACUUACAAAAAUACUUGCGUGAUGGACACUCCACUUCUCCAGAAGACAAAAGAGGAAAAAAUUGAUCCCAUCAAGGAAAAUUUCACAAGAAGUAGUUCAGAGUGUUCACAAUUUCAUAAAUAAUGUACCUAAGUAUGCCAGUCAUUACAGCCGCUCACAGGACCCCAAUAAAAUGUACUUCGACCGUGAUAUGUAGAUUUCUUCAUUAUAUCAAGAACAUUAUUUGAAAUAUUGUGAAGAAAAUAAUGCACCACAAGUAAAAGUUUCGACAUUUCGAGAUAUAUACAACCCUGAUUUUAAUAUUUGUUUUAAACUGCCACAUUCAGAUUCAUGUCAUGUAUGUGGCGAAUAUCAAAUUCAAAUAAAAAAUGCACAGUUCAACAACUCUGAAGAUAUUAUUAGAAGAUUAAAAUUUGGAAGGGACCUACAUCAUGCCAAAGCAUCUGAUGCACAAAAUAUAUUUACAUAGCUUUCCAAAUUACCUAGGGAAAAUCCUGAGGAAUAUCUUACAAUAGCCUUUGACCUACAACAAACCUUUCCAACACCAAGGAUUACAUCUGGGCCUCCAUUCUAUAAGAGGAAGUUGUGGACUUACAAUUUUGAUAUCCAUGAUUAAGGGUCUGAA